ACGGAAGGCAGCAGUGAGGAAUAUUGGUCAAUGGGCGAGAGCCUGAACCAGCCAAGUAGUGUGAAGGAUGACGGCCCUAUGGGUUGUAAACUUCUUUUGUUUGGGAAUAAAGUCAGGGACGCGUCCCUGUUUGUAUGUACCUUACGAAUAAGCAUCGGCUAAUUCCGUGCCAGCAGCCGCGGUAAUACGGAAGAUGCGAGCGUUAUCCGGAUUUAUUGGGUUUAAAGGGAGCGUAGGCGGCCUUUUAAGUCAGCGGGUAAAUGUCAGCGCCCAACGUUGGCAUGCCGUUGAAACUGGAGGGCUUGAAUACACACAAGGUAAGUGGAAUUCGUCGUGUAGCGGUGAAAUGCUUAGAUAUGACGAAGAACUCCGAUUGCGAAGGCAGCUUACUGGGGUGCGAUUGACGCUGAGGCUCGAAAGUGCGGGAAUCAAACAGGAUUAGAUACCCUGGUA
This 453-nucleotide ribosomal RNA is filed under the name uncultured Paraprevotella sp. RNAcentral describes it as "bacterial SSU rRNA". It matches the Rfam family "Bacterial small subunit ribosomal RNA", at positions 341 to 792 of the family's 1533-position model. Lineage: Bacteria; Pseudomonadati; Bacteroidota; Bacteroidia; Bacteroidales; Prevotellaceae. The record is from RNAcentral.